UGCCAGCCGCCGCGGUAAUACGGAGGGAGCUAGCGUUGUUCGGAAUUACUGGGCGUAAAGAGCGUGUAGGCUGUUAGGUAAGUCAGAGGUGAAAUCCCUAAGCUCAACUUAGGAACUGCCUUUGAUACUAUCUUACUAGAGAUCGAGAGAAGUUAGCGGAAUUCCAAGUGUAGAGGUGAAAUUCGUAGAUAUUUGGAAGAACACCAGUGGCGAAAGCGGCUAACUGGCUCGAUUCUGACGCUAAGACGCGAAAGCGUGGGUAGCAAACAGGAUUAGAUA
Molecule: ribosomal RNA, 279 nt
Filed under: uncultured bacterium
Lineage: Bacteria
Description: partial 16S ribosomal RNA
Rfam family: Bacterial small subunit ribosomal RNA
Source: RNAcentral